RNAcentral lists this long non-coding RNA (257 nucleotides) under Elaeis guineensis (African oil palm). RNAcentral describes it as "long non-coding RNA (EGUI_LNC002886)". The record is from RNAcentral. Lineage: Eukaryota; Viridiplantae; Streptophyta; Magnoliopsida; Arecales; Arecaceae.
UCAAGAAACUCCUUUCUGUUUGCCUAAGAUAUAGUUAACCCAGACAGGGACUGGAUCGACCGUCCUAUGUCUUAGUUGAUCCAGUCUCAAUCUGAGCCGACUAACACUCUAAAUCUACUUGUUCCUUUGCAGCUUCAGCUUUGACUCUGGUUUCUUGCUCCACCUUAUGUCUUCAGAUCUCCGGAGCACCAACCAAGCCUCUCGAAGUUUUGAAUAUCCGGACCUUAAGUCUGCGGAGAGCUAUGCAUCACCUCCAC